GAAGUGCUCCUGUUGUAGUCACUCUCCAGCAUUGCAUUCUCCUUGUGAGUUUGAAAAGGAAAAUUUCCUCUGUACAUCUCCGGUCAACCACAGGAAUUCCAUCCUGCAUCCCAGCAAAGGAAGCAGCUGAACACUGCUAGACCUCACUUUAGUGUCUGAUACUUGCUGAUGAUGGAGAUCCGGUUAUUUUUCUGCACAAGGCUUUUGAGUUUUUAGAUGGAGGUUUAUUGUCUUUAACUACAUUUCUGAAUUCUACCACGCUUCUCCUAGCACAAACUACUUGAAUCAGGUCUUAAGAGCCACCUAAGAUUUGAGAGACACAGGCACGGUUGAACAAAGUGUACAUGUAGCCUACCUAAAAAUCCAGAAAAAUCAGGCAGCUGAUGAGAACAGAGGAAGGAGCAGAUGAUGGCACCAAAUCCUGCCCUGGAGCUGAGCAGGGCUCAAGGAGCAGCCCCGUGUGGAGGAGCAGAUGGUGCUCUGCAAACUAUCAGCUGCAUUUUGUGGAGCAUUUCUGGAGCUGAGGGACAACUGUCUGGGAAUUUCCAGGUCAGGUAACCUUGCUCACUCUUGUGGAAAGCCUGAGGAGCUCCAGGAGGGAUUUAAAGAAGAGAUCUUCCUCUCCUGUUCAGCUAAUUACGAGCUCCUCCCUUCCAAACUCCUGAUCUCGUCACACAGCCGAAGGCGUCGACGGCAGAGCAGAGCCCGGAUUUGGGAGCUGGCGGUGCCGCGCCGCUGUUCCCGCAGCAGCCGGGUGCUUCUCCCUGUGCCUCUGGAGCCUGCCAUUGUGCUGGGAAGUGGAGCAGGUAACCACUUCAUCAGGCCGAGAUUCCAUUCUCGUGGAGCACGGAGGUUCAUUAUACUCACUUUAUCAGCAGUGCGCUUUACUGCCGAAUCCAUGAGAGAUAUUCAUGUGAAACAUGAGCAGAGAGAGAGGCAUUGCAUCUUUUCAUUAAUAAGCCCUCUUCUGGGAUCCGGCAUUAGCGAGAUUCAGCGGAUCAUAGAGCACAGGGGUAUCAUUUUUACAUGA
RNAcentral lists this long non-coding RNA (1030 nucleotides) under Cyanistes caeruleus (blue tit). Its description in RNAcentral is "lncRNA (ENSCCEG00000010716.1)". Lineage: Eukaryota; Metazoa; Chordata; Aves; Passeriformes; Paridae. The record is from RNAcentral.